Molecule: long non-coding RNA, 2140 nt
Organism: Oncorhynchus kisutch (coho salmon)
Lineage: Eukaryota; Metazoa; Chordata; Actinopteri; Salmoniformes; Salmonidae
Exons: 2
Source: RefSeq, a predicted model, not a curated record
AUGACAUUCAAAUCAGUAUUGGAAAAUGGCGCAAGUUUGUUUUCCGCCUGAGCGAGUCUGACCACAAGUCAGAGACCACUAUGACGACACACCAAACAAAUGUGUUUGAUGGAUCGCGGAAAAAGAGCAGGAAUAGAUUUUUGUAGUCUACAGUCCAAGUUAUGUCUUCCAAAAGUGCGAAUGCUGUCGGAAUCCAAAGAUUAUUCAACUUGAAUUAAAGAAUAUUCCAGUUAAACACAUUUUCUUUGCAGGUAGUUAUGCAUCCGAUGAGGCAGCGGAUAUCAAUGUUUUGUGGCAUGAUUUGGGUGACGGCCUCGUGUUUCUCUCUACCUCAUGCCAUUUAUCAGAAGCUGCUGUGGUUUGACUUUGGAAAGGUUUGAAUGGUGUGUCUGCCCAGCUUUCCACAGCCGUCAGAUGUGUUUUGGAAAUACUUGGACCUGGCCACGUUUUUCCUCCUCUACUUGUUGCCACUUUCUAUCAUCUCCAUAGCUUACAUUAUCAUUGCUGAGAAGCUAUGGAUGCGUAAUGCUAUAGGGGAUGUGACUCUGGCACAAUAUGUCACCCACAGACAAAGGAAGAAGAUGACUCUGAAGAUGCUGAUGUUGGUGGUGGCUGUUUUUGCUAUUUGCUGGUUCCCUUUAAACUGUUAUGUGAUUUUGGUGUCCAGCCAGGCCAUUAACACUAACAAUGCUAUCUACUUCACCUUCCAUUGGUUUGCCAUGAGUAGCACCUGUUACAAUCAUUUUAUCUACUGCUGGCUGAACAGAAGCUUCAGGACUGAGCUCAAGUCCCUGCCUUUCAUUUGGCGUUUCAAGAGGGCAGUACAUCCAUGCUGAGGUUGUCAUCUCUAUAACUACAUAGAUUAUGUAUAAAGGAUAUAGAGGUUAAUGCAGAGGUUAACAUCUUUCCAUAAGAUUCUGUCAAGGUUGCACCUAUCUCCAUUCGGUUGAUGUAAUUUAUAAUUAGAUCUAGGUCGACCUAUAAUAUGAAAUAUUAGAGAAUAACGGAAGUCUAUUUCUUUAAGGGGAGGUAAAAAUAAACAAUAAAAUGGUGAAGUAGUUUGUAAAAUAUUUUGUAAAUAAUCGGGAAAGAGAAUAUUAGUGAAACACUUGUAUGGAUACCGUAAUGGUAAAUAAAACUAAUGUGAUUUAGCAUGUUAUGUGUUUUUUCAAAACAUGAUAGCCUACAGCUACACAAUUCAAGUUAAAAAAUAUUUGUUUCAGUGUCUAUCGUUCUUUUAUAGUAUAAUGUUUGUAAAUGUGUAACUGUGCACAGAGUAAACUCGAAACAUUCACAAUCAUUCAUUAGUGCACACUAUUGCAUAGGGCUAUUCAAUUCUGUCCCUCAAGAGAUGUACAGUAGUACUGCUGUUUUUCUUUCAUCCCUGGUAGUUAGUUGGUCAGUGUAUGUCAUUGACCUUAGACUUGACCCACAAUGUAUUCUCAGGGCUGAUUCAUUCAGUCCCUGAUCAGAUGGAGGAAGUAAAACCACCAGUUAUGCGUGUGGCACUCAAGGAUUUUUCCUGGCCCUGCCAUAGCAUUAUGCAAUUAGUCAGAUCUGAUGAGCCAAGAUUAAGCAAGUGUGAAUACUUUUCACUGAAUUACCUUUAAAGGAGUACCCAUAAUGUCAUGUCAUGAUACUUGAAAUCAUUCAAAUAAUCUGAGCAGAACUAUCUACCAAUAUAAUUACUUUCCCAUAAAAAAAAAUAUUAUAAUUGCUUAAUUCGAUAAUUUAAUGAAUUUAUAUAAUUAGAUAUAUAGAUGAUCAUUAUAAAUCACAAAGUUAUUGAAUGGCUUGGAUUGACGAAUCAGCAUGCCGGAUAGAAAAAUGUACUUUUCUCACGACACCAUCUGCUGGUUGAAUCAUAGACAAUCUUCAUGUAUAAAAUUGGUUGAAAAUACACUAUGAAAUAGUGUCAGUGCCAGGGGAAUCAGAUGUGCUCAUGUGUGAGUAUUUCAUUUGUAUUUAAACUAAAUGUAUUUGUAUUUGAGUGUUUACCAGCAUUUGUAACUUGAGUCCGAUAAUUAUCUGUACAAAACAGUUAAUCUGAUAAUACUUGUGGAAUAUAAAAGUACUUGCUUGUUUUCCAGUUUCUUGAAAUACUUUGCAAAUACAAUGUAUUUCUAUUUGAAAACUGAAA